This 64-nucleotide transfer RNA is filed under the name Coleoptera sp. ACP-2013. RNAcentral's name for it is "tRNA-Leu". The record is from RNAcentral. Lineage: Eukaryota; Metazoa; Arthropoda; Insecta; Coleoptera.
AGUUAUUUUGGCAGAAUAGUGCUUUUAAUUUAGAAUUAAAGAAUGUAAUUAUAUUACAUAUAAC